GUUUUCCUGGCAGCUGUUUUUCCAAACUAACCUCCUGCUCUCCUCUGAUUUCUAGCACACGCAUCCUAUUUUGUAGGAGGAAGAAACUGUUAGAAGUAAGAGAGUGGUGGUGGUUGGAUCGGGAGAGAAGGGCUGACACAAAAUGGCCCUUCUAGAAGGAGCUUUAUUGGGAGAAAAGACAUGAUGACCGUGGGAAUCAUGAUUGAACUUUAAGGUGGGAGAGCUGACAAAGGGGUCAGGGGCAACAUGGUGGGCUUUAAAGGGAGAGAGAGGUUUUCCUAUAAAACUUGGAGAGGAAUGUAAUUAAGAGGAAUAGCUUAAAGUAAGAGUGUGUGUGUGUAUAUAAGAGAGAGAGAAAGAGAGAGAGAGAGAGAGAAUCACACACAGAGAGACAAAGAUAGAGACAGAGACAGAAAGAGACAGAGCAUGCUGCCACUCGCAGGAUGAUGGUGAGAGCAUGCAGAGAAAGCUUCAACCCACAGGAUGAUGGUUUUCAAAUAAAGGAAGAUAUCUGACUUUUAAAUCCAUCUGUGGGGUGGUGAGAAGCCCCUACCAUGUGAUUCAGUUCGGAUCACCUGCUGUGAAGAGAAGUGUGGAAGAGCCAGAGUCUGCGCCAAAGCCAACACUUCUAAAACAAAACCAGAAACAAGGCGGAAAACAGCAGACUGGAUUGCGAAGUCAGCAGCUCAUGGUGCCAUGUUGGCAUCGGCAGCUUUUGGCAUUCAGAACCUUGGCACUUGGAUUUGGUGGCAAUUCAGACAAAUGUGUAGUUGGCUUGCGUGGGAAAUGCAGCUGGGCAGAGGAGAGCCCAAUAAUCCACCCUGAAGACAUGAAGGAAUAGGUGUCAGCCUGGCAGAGGGACUGUCCCAGAGAGGGAUGCUCAGAGGCUGGGGAGAUGGUUUAGUGGGUAAAAGGCUAUGUUCUGAUCCCCAGAGCCCAUGUCGGAAGUCAGGCAUGAUGGUUCACAUCUGUAAUCCUAUGUUCAGGAUGGAGAAAGCAGACAGGUGAAUUGAAGGCUUAUUGGCCAGCUAGUCUGGCUGGACAGCAAGCUCCAGCUUCUGCAAGAGGUCCUAUCUGGAAAACUAAAGUGGAAGAGACAGUGGCUCAGUGGUUAGGAACGUGCAGUUGCUGCUCUUGGAGGACCCAAGUUUAGAUCCAGCAAUUAUGUUGGGUGCCUGAAAUUCUAGUUUCAUGGGAUCUGAUGCUCUCCUCUGGCCCCCGCGAUCACUCUCACAGGUGUGGCAGAUGCAUAGACAUACACUCAUAUACAUAAGCCAAAAUAAUACAUCUUGAAAGAAUCAAAGUGGAGAGAAAUAGAAGGCACUUGAUGUUGAUUCUGGCCUCCAUGUGUGCACAUUCACAGUACAUACCCGGCAAUGUGAUCAAAGCGGAGGGAGGGAGGAACAGGAGGGGAGAGGGAGAGGGGGAGGGGGGAAGGAGAGGGAGAGGGAGACCAGAGCUUAGAGGGAUAAUUUAAGGGUUUCUUCAAGCAACUCUAAAAAUAAUUCCAUUCAAUUUCACAAACAGGUAAGAACCAAGCCCAUUCAGACAUCCUGGCUCUGAUGGACCUGUUCUUUGGUUCUGGAAUUGCUUGCUCCCUGGACAAGGGGAAAAUGGAAAGGUUGCUUUUAAUGUGAAAGGGCCAAGCAGACAGCAAAUGUGAGUGCCUUUUAAGCUCUAAGAGCCCUAUGAAGAAC
Molecule: long non-coding RNA, 1697 nt
Filed under: Mus musculus (house mouse)
Lineage: Eukaryota; Metazoa; Chordata; Mammalia; Rodentia; Muridae
Description: predicted gene 45895
Source: RNAcentral